CAGUCGCCGCGGGAAUACGAAGGGUGCAAGCGUUACUCGGAAUUACUGGGCGUAAAGCGUGCGUAGGUGGUGGUUUAAGUCCGUUGUGAAAGCCCUGGGCUCAACCUGGGAAUUGCAGUGGAUACUGGGUCACUAGAGUGUGGUAGAGGAUAGUGGAAUUUCCGGUGUAGCAGUGAAAUGCGUAGAGAUCGGAAGGAACAUCUGUGGCGAAGGCGACUAUCUGGGCCAACACUGACACUGAGGCACGAAAGCGUGGGGGCAAACAGGAUUAGAUACCCCGGUAGUCCCUGUCUCUUAUACC
Molecule: ribosomal RNA, 301 nt
Filed under: uncultured bacterium
Lineage: Bacteria
Description: partial 16S ribosomal RNA
Rfam family: Bacterial small subunit ribosomal RNA
Source: RNAcentral